Molecule: long non-coding RNA, 1329 nt
Filed under: Pavo cristatus (Indian peafowl)
Lineage: Eukaryota; Metazoa; Chordata; Aves; Galliformes; Phasianidae
Description: lncRNA (ENSPSTG00000005122.1)
Source: RNAcentral
AUGGAACCCCGACGUCGCGUAGUCCUUUUUGCUACCCCCGUUGCUUUUGUUGAGCCUCGGGUGCUCUACGGCGAAGCUGUGGAUGUCGUAAUGCGACACGCUUUCCCUGUGGGGCGGAGGGAAGAGCUGGUCUGCUUUGCCAAAAUAAUCAGUCUCUGCAAAGCGGCCCGGCCUGGCGGGGCUGUAGGCGUCCCUGCUGGUUCCCGGUUGGUUGGGAUCUUCCUCAUACACCUCCGCGUCCCAAGAGAGGUGGGAAUGGGCGUAUUUCAUGUGCUCUUUGAGGAUGUUCUCGUUGGGCGCCGGGAAGCUGCAGAGCACGCAGGUGCUGAGCCCUUUGCCGUGCGGAGGUGCCUGCACUUGCAGGGGCAUGUGCUCAUUGGGUUUGAAGUGUUUGUACAUACCGUGCACGGGGCUAUCCUGCAGCUCUCCGCCUCCGUAGAGAUUCAAGCUCUUCGCCCCUUGGUCCUUCCUCUCCUUGACGUGCAUCUUGGCGUGCUGCACGAAGAUCUUGGAGGAGUUGGUGCCGAAGACGCACUUGGGGCACUGCAGCCGGGCUUCCCGACCUUCGUCCGGGAACUCGUUCAGCUUCUGGAUCUCCUCGAUGAUUUUUUCCCUGGAUUCCUGGUGGAGCCUUUUGUGCUGCUCCAGGGACGCGAGGUCCCCGAACGCCCACCCGCACUCAUUGCAGCAGAACUGGCACUGCCCCCCGAGAGCAUCCCCAUCUUGGUCCCUCCCUGGUCCGCGGUUGUGCUGGAGCAUGUGAUCCAUCAGGUGCUCCUUCUUCUUGAAGUAGAUGCUGCACUCGAUGCACGUGUACACCGUGGGGUCCUCCUCAGGGCCCAGCUCCUCUUUGCCCUGCUCCUCCACCAGCACGCUGCACACAUAGGGCCUCAUCUCCACCUCAUAGGAGCUGCAGGGAGUGGGCUCCAGGGACAUCAAUGGGAUCCUCUCCACCGAAUCCUCAGAAUUCACCGUCCACGACUGCUUGCCGACGGCGAGGUCGGCGCUGAGCUGCAGAGCUGGCUUUGGGAUGGUCCACUCAGCUGCGCUGAGCGCGCCCAUCUCACCCGCGUCCGAGUCGACCCCCAGCCCCUUCCUGUGGGACGAGGGGGUCUCGAGGGUUUUGGACUUGCUGAGGACAGGGUUCAGAGAUUUCCUGAACACCGUCGGAGUCAGCGGAGGAGGCACUUCACGCACAGCCUGUCCCCGGAAGGGUACGCUGCUUGCUACAUCCGUCGGCUUGCUCACGUCUUUGUAGUGAGGACUCGGGCUUCUGUUGGGCCGAGAAAUCCAGUCGACCCUCUGGAUCCCCCUCCUGCUUUUCUCUAA